Small nucleolar RNA from Arabidopsis thaliana (thale cress), 73 nucleotides. It matches the Rfam family "Small nucleolar RNA R43". From Rfam's summary of the family: R43 is a member of the C/D class of snoRNA which contain the C (UGAUGA) and D (CUGA) box motifs. Most of the members of the box C/D family function in directing site-specific 2'-O-methylation of substrate RNAs. The record is from Rfam. NCBI's taxonomy places the organism in Eukaryota, Viridiplantae, Streptophyta, Magnoliopsida, Brassicales, Brassicaceae.
AGCUGAUGAUGAUUCUAUACUUGAUAUUACUGACUAGUGGGUAGCUGAAGAUAAUCGCCUGCUACCUGAGUCU